Long non-coding RNA from Spinacia oleracea (spinach), 581 nucleotides. RefSeq lists it as uncharacterized. The transcript has 4 exons. The record is from RefSeq and is a predicted model, not a curated record. Lineage: Eukaryota; Viridiplantae; Streptophyta; Magnoliopsida; Caryophyllales; Amaranthaceae.
CUAUUCAGACCCAUUUCGUCUCAAACCUCGAGCAAAAUAGAAAUCUAAAAUCCCGCGCUCACUCCUUCUUCUACCCGAGCAUUCUUCUAUUUGGAUUUUGGAGAGAGAAAUCGUUGUUAAUUUCAUGAAAUCAGGGUUCGAAUUCGUUUGUUGAAGAGGAGGAAAAAGGAAAAUCGAUUUUUUUUUAGUUUCGUUUUACAAGCCCUAAAAAACCUUAGUUUCGGAAAUUAGGGCAAAGGAUUUCAAAUUUUGCUUGCUGUUUUGCGACAUAGGUUUUGCAAUCUAAGGGUUUCGUGUUGCGGGGGUGGUGUGUUUUGCUCAGGUCAAGGAGGUUUCAGAAGAUUGGAGUUGGGGUUCCCAUCUGCUGCAAAAGAAAUGAAUUGAUUGAUUUUGAGGAAAGAACAAGCGCAUAUGAGGAUGUCAACAUGACUACAUGGUAAAGAAUCUAAAGCCCGCCUUACACUCUCUCCCCUUUUUAUCAGUAUAUAUGCUUUGAAGGGUCCUUUAUAUAUGAUGCUGUGGAUUUCACUUCACAAAAGGCUGUUAAGAGUUUUGUAUCUUCGGGAUUCCUGUCAAUGGUA